Corapipo altera (White-ruffed manakin) is the source of this 459-nucleotide long non-coding RNA. RefSeq lists it as uncharacterized. NCBI's taxonomy places the organism in Eukaryota, Metazoa, Chordata, Aves, Passeriformes, Pipridae. The transcript has 3 exons. The record is from RefSeq and is a predicted model, not a curated record.
AGAUUAUUCAUGAUCCAAUAAGUAAGCUGCGAGCAGCCUCAUUUCCUCCACUCUUUGGUGGAGGAAGUCAUCAGCCAAGGCAUUAGGAACUAGAUCUGAGGAGGUUUGGAAGUGCAGAGUGAAACCAAGUGGGUUUUCUGACCAGAGGGGAGCAACACAGUGCACAGGGAACCAUCUGAAGUGAGGUCUCACUCCAGAGAGCUGUGGGAGGCCCCUCUUGGGUGAGACAACCUGUUCUCAUGUCACUGUAGUGCACUGUACUGCCUCUGCUGUGGUCCAAAAUUUAUGGCAAUACACUGGGCUGUAUGAACAUGUUCCAUGUUCUUUGAAGUAUGUCAGAACAGAGAGAGGAGAGUAAGGAGAAUAUCAUUGUCUGGAUUCCUUCGGGCGGCACAGACGUACCAUGCGGUAUUUCGCUGGAAUGAACAUCACGUCUUCCACUGCUGCGUAGGAGCAUAA